UCUACCUUAUGGAUGAACAAAAAGUGUUUGUCAGCCUUACGACAGUCUUUUUAGAAAAAAAAUUUCUUUGGAAAGGGAUUAAUGCCUCUAAGGUUGAACUUGACAAAGUUCAAUAGGUAGAACCGACAUAAUCUAGUGAACCCACAGAAUCAGAUUUGAUGAUGACAAACUCAAAACCUAUUGUAAAGACACUAUUAAGGAGAUCUGAUAGAGUAUCAUGUCAACUGAACAGAUAUUAUGAUUUUUUGAUUCG
This 253-nucleotide long non-coding RNA is filed under the name Elaeis guineensis (African oil palm). Its description in RNAcentral is "long non-coding RNA (EGUI_LNC069609)". The record is from RNAcentral. Lineage: Eukaryota; Viridiplantae; Streptophyta; Magnoliopsida; Arecales; Arecaceae.